Molecule: long non-coding RNA, 342 nt
Filed under: Cricetulus griseus (Chinese hamster)
Lineage: Eukaryota; Metazoa; Chordata; Mammalia; Rodentia; Cricetidae
Description: lncRNA (ENSCGRG00000024445.1)
Source: RNAcentral
CCUCUGCAGCAGCUGUCAGCAGCAGCCCUGGGACAAGAAGCACUGGAGCCCCAGAUUCUGAUUCUGCAAGGACCACUACUGCUAGUUCAGUGGCCACAACCAAACCAUCUACCUCUGCCAGCACAGAACCAGGCUCACCUGGAGCAUCAUCUGGAUCCAGCCCUGGUACAGCGGGUGUCAGCACUCCUGGAGAAGCAAGUACUGGAGCCACAGCUUCAGGAACCAUAAGCACUCCUGGAGGCUCUACCACUGUAAGUCCUGAAACAUCAACUAGACCAGUCACUACCUCUGCUGAGAGCAGUGCAGGUAAAGGAGAGAAGAGAGAAGUCUGACUUGUGUGUG